Long non-coding RNA from Beta vulgaris subsp. vulgaris (sugar beet), 1264 nucleotides. RefSeq lists it as uncharacterized. NCBI's taxonomy places the organism in Eukaryota, Viridiplantae, Streptophyta, Magnoliopsida, Caryophyllales, Amaranthaceae. The transcript is spliced from 4 exons. The record is from RefSeq and is a predicted model, not a curated record.
AGAGGUAUAAAAAAAUAAAAAAAAACCUCCAGUCGACCAAAUUAUCAACCCUUACCCACGCUUCUCUAUUCCUCACUCUCAUCUCACGUUUCUCUCUCUUCCUCACUCUCACCUCACAUUUUGGUGCUCUCUCUCUUGUAGAUCUCACGAAAUCAGGUCAGACGUGUCUUGUGUUCUGCAAGACCUGUAGCAAUUCAAACAUCUGUUAAUCCCACUACAUCAGAUCAGGAUCCGCUUUGUAUUGGCUGACAUGCUCAGCUAUGGCAGCUUGCUCAUAGGACAACUGCUCUUCCACUUGGGCGUGGAGCAUUUACUCUGGCAACCUCGUGCACCCUUUUAACAGAGGCACUCAUCGUACCAAAGCUUGUUUUGGCUGGAAGGUUGCCUGCUCAGCAGAAUGCCACUGUACGCUGUGACAUGUAUUUAAUUUUAUAUUUUUUUAUCGCCAAACUCAAGCUUUGUUUCUAUUAAUAUUUUUGAAGAACAUGGGGAUAGUAUGCUAAAUAGUACAUCACCUUUUAGAUGUUUAUGCUGUAUGAAUUUUCCUAAGAAAAUGUUGAUUAGCUGUUAUCUUUGCUUGUUGAGUGUCAACAGAUGUGUCAUUGUCUCAUUUAUGCUAUCUUGAAGUUACUUUUCAUGUCUCUUUUGGGCUGUUCUUUGAGCUUAUGGAAACGAUCUCUUUUGAAGCACAUGAUAAGUAAGAGCUGAAGUUUUCUUUGAUAUGUCUGUGGUGAUGAAAUGUCUUAACAUUUCUCAUCUAGGAAGACCUAGUGAAUAGCUGCAUAUUGAUUAAUUUCAUAGCUACUCUACUCUCCAGCAGAUAGCAAAGUACAUUAUUGCUAUACGAGGGACACUAAUGUUUGCUUUAGUCUAUGAUGUGUCACAUUUCAGUUUCUCUUAGUUUUGUAGUUUUUGUCUUGUUGCUCUCUAUUUUGUACGGAGAGCGCAUCUGUUCUCAUUGAUGUACAAAUUUUAUGUUCAGGCGUGCUGGUGUCAUAUGGCUCAUUCAUCUGAGGCUGUACUGUGUAUACUACAAGUUGAUGCCUUGACAGAAGAUGACAAAAAGUUUAUGAGAUUUGUAUUAGAUUUUGUGGCUCAAAAUAUUUAGUUUUGUUCCAGAUUUUUGUUGUGGAGUUUAAAUUAGUGUACAUGUAAUUAUAUGAGAUUUGUAUUAGAUUUUGUUAUAAGUAUACUAGAUUUUAGUUCUAUAAUUAUUUUUUCACUUGUAUCUACAUUUAUUAUCAAUAAUAAUUGAAUUGAUUAA